GUAUUCAGGUAAUCGCUGCAAAGCUUGACUUUGUAGAGGAAAGUCCAUGCUCACACGGUUCUGAGAUGUCCGUAGUGUUUGUGCUCGGUGAAUUAAUAAGCCGGGGCUUCGCGCAUAGCGCGUUGACGGCGGGAAUAAGUCCUAAGUUUACUUAACGUAAAUAUGGAUUAGGUUCCCCGAACAGUGCCACAGAAACGUAGUCGGUUCGGAAACGGAUCGAAUGGAACGCGGUAAACCCCACAAGUGAGAAACCCAAACUAUGGUAGGGGCACUCUUCUGAAGGAAAUGAACAGACGAAGAGACGAGUAUUCAUACUCGUAGAUAGAUGAUUACCACCCAGCGUACGAGGCGUAAGCCGUUUGAGUACUAGGGAACAAAACAUGGCUUAUCGAA
RNAcentral lists this RNase P RNA (393 nucleotides) under Sporosarcina sp. Marseille-Q4063. RNAcentral's name for it is "Bacterial RNase P class B". It matches the Rfam family "Bacterial RNase P class B". From Rfam's summary of the family: Ribonuclease P (RNase P) is a ubiquitous endoribonuclease, found in archaea, bacteria and eukarya as well as chloroplasts and mitochondria. Its best characterised activity is the generation of mature 5'-ends of tRNAs by cleaving the 5'-leader elements of precursor-tRNAs. Lineage: Bacteria; Bacillati; Bacillota; Bacilli; Caryophanales; Caryophanaceae. The record is from Rfam by way of RNAcentral.